GGGGAAUCUUCCGCAAUGGGCGCAAGCCUGACGGAGCAAGACCGCGUGCGGGAGGACGGCCUAUUGGUUGUAAACCGCUUUUGAUAGGGAAGAAGCUCUGACGGUACCUAUCGAAUCAGCAUCGGCUAACUCCGUGCCAGCAGCCGCGGUAAUACGGAGGAUGCAAGCGUUAUCCGGAAUUAUUGGGCGUAAAGCGUCCGUAGGUGGUUGUUCAAGUCUGCUGUUAAAGCGUGCGGCUUAACCGCAUACCAGCAGUGGAAACUGGGCGACUAGAGUGCGGUAGGGGUCAGGGGAAUUCCCAGUGUAGCGGUGAAAUGCGUAGAUAUUGGGAAGAACACCAGCGGCGAAAGCGCGUGACUGGGCCUGAACUGACACUGAGGGACGAAAGCUAGGGGAGCGAAUGGGAUUAGAUACCCCAGUAGUC
RNAcentral lists this ribosomal RNA (424 nucleotides) under uncultured cyanobacterium. Its description in RNAcentral is "bacterial SSU rRNA". It matches the Rfam family "Bacterial small subunit ribosomal RNA", at positions 356 to 795 of the family's 1533-position model. RNAcentral also lists the same sequence under 1 other name. The record is from RNAcentral. Lineage: Bacteria; Bacillati; Cyanobacteriota.